CAAGCAACUUACACACUAAAUAGUAGUGAAUUAGGGAUAACCACACACAAGAAGGAUUUGGGAAUUGUUAUAGACAACAAAUUAGGCAGCAAUAUGCAAUGUCAAUCGGCAGUUGCUAAGGCCAGUAAUGUUUUGUCAUGUAUAUAUAUAUAUGGGCAGAGGUUUUUGGGAUGAAAAUAUAUUUUUGCCCCUUUAUAAAUCGCUGGUAAGACCACACCUUGAAUAUGAUGUGCAAUUUUGGGCACCUGUUCUAAAGAAGGAUAUCAUGGCACUAGAAAAAGUACAGAGACGAUCUACAAAAUUGAUAAAAGGAAUGGAGCAUUUUAAUUAUGAAGAAAGGUUAAAACAUUUUAAUCUCUUUAGUUUGGAAAAAUGGUGCCUCAGAGGGGAUAUGAUAACAUUAUUCAAAUAUAUUCAGGGCCAGUACAAACCAUUGUCUGGAUAUCUGUUCAUAAACAGGGCUAUACAUAGGACACAAGGUCACACAUUUAGGCUGGAAGAAAGGAGAUUUCAUCUAAGGCAAAGAAAAUGUUUUUUUUUUUACAGUAAGAACAAUACGGAUAUGGAAUUCUCUGCCUGAAAAGGUGGUUUUAUCAGAGUCCAUGCAGAUGUUUAAACUGCAAUUGGAUAAAUACUUGCAAAAACAUAACAUACAGGGAUAUAAUUUCUAAUUAGUGGGGUAAUAGCUGCUUGAUCCAAGGAGAUAACUGCCUGCUAUUUUGGGGUCAAGAAGACAUUUUUUCCUAGCUUGUUGCAAAAUUGUGCUUCAAACUGGUUUUUUUUGCCUUCCUUUGGAUCAACAGCAAAAACAUAUGUGAGGAAGGCUGAACUUGAUGGACGCAAGUCUCUUUUCAUCUACAUAACUAUGAAUUAUAAAAGGGGGGGAUGUAUUGUCUCCCCCUAGUCCCUACCCAUG
Non-coding RNA from Pelobates cultripes (western spadefoot toad), 916 nucleotides. The record is from the annotation of a GenBank genome assembly. NCBI's taxonomy places the organism in Eukaryota, Metazoa, Chordata, Amphibia, Anura, Pelobatidae.